This 723-nucleotide ribosomal RNA is filed under the name Vibrio sp. 1F03. RNAcentral describes it as "bacterial SSU rRNA". It matches the Rfam family "Bacterial small subunit ribosomal RNA", at positions 33 to 735 of the family's 1533-position model. The record is from RNAcentral. Lineage: Bacteria; Pseudomonadati; Pseudomonadota; Gammaproteobacteria; Vibrionales; Vibrionaceae.
ACGCUGGCGGCAGGCCUAACACAUGCAAGUCGAGCGGAAACGACUUAACUGAACCUUCGGGGRACGUUAAGGGCGUCGAGCGGCGGACGGGUGAGUAAUGCCUGGGAAUAUGCCUUAGUGUGGGGGAUAACUAUUGGAAACGAUAGCUAAUACCGCAUAAUGUCUUCGGACCAAAGAGGGGGACCUUCGGGCCUCUCGCGCUAAGAUUAGCCCAGGUGAGAUUAGCUAGUUGGUGAGGUAAGAGCUCACCAAGGCGACGAUCUCUAGCUGGUCUGAGAGGAUGAUCAGCCACACUGGAACUGAGACACGGUCCAGACUCCUACGGGAGGCAGCAGUGGGGAAUAUUGCACAAUGGGCGAAAGCCUGAUGCAGCCAUGCCGCGUGUAUGAAGAAGGCCUUCGGGUUGUAAAGUACUUUCAGUAGGGAGGAAGGUGUUGUAGUUAAUAGCUGCAGCAUUUGACGUUACCUACAGAAGAAGCACCGGCUAACUCCGUGCCAGCAGCCGCGGUAAUACGGAGGGUGCGAGCGUUAAUCGGAAUUACUGGGCGUAAAGCGCAUGCAGGUGGUUCAUUAAGUCAGAUGUGAAAGCCCGGGGCUCAACCUCGGAACCGCAUUUGAAACUGGUGAACUAGAGUGCUGUAGAGGGGGGUAGAAUUUCAGGUGUAGCGGUGAAAUGCGUAGAGAUCUGAAGGAAUACCAGUGGCGAAGGCGGCCCCCUGGACA